RNAcentral lists this long non-coding RNA (602 nucleotides) under Equus caballus (horse). RNAcentral describes it as "lncRNA (ENSECAG00000057301.1)". Lineage: Eukaryota; Metazoa; Chordata; Mammalia; Perissodactyla; Equidae. The record is from RNAcentral.
UAAAGAAACUACUGAGGCUAAAGACCAAGAAAAAUGCCUUCAAAAGAGCCAGAGAAAGAUGACGUAUAACAUAUAGGUACAUGAUGAUUCUAGUGAGUAUGGAUUUCUCAUCAGCUACUACGCAGACCAGAAGAAAGUGGAACAUCUUUAAAGUGCUGAAAGUGAAGAAUUGUCAUCCUAGAAUUCUACAUCCAGUGAAAAUACCCUUUAGGAAUGAAGGUGAAAUAAAGACAUUCUCAGAUGAAGGAAAACAAAAAAAAAAUUUGCUUCUGGCAGGAAGGGAAAUGAUACCAGAGGGAAACUUGAAACAUCAGGAAUAGAUAAAUAGAAAUGGUAAAUAUCUGGAGAAGGUGGAGAAACCAUGAUGAUUGAGAGUAGAAUAAAUUUAUGCCAUCUAAUCUCAGCCAGAUCAGCCCUGAGCUAACUACUGCCAGUCCUCCUCUCUUUUCUGAGGAAGCCUGGCCCUGAGCUAACAUCCAUGCCCAUCUUCCUCUACUUUAUAUGUGGGACGCCUACCACAGCAUGGCAUGCCAAGCCGUGCCAUGUCUGCACCCAGGAUCCGAACCGACGAAUUCCAGGUGGCCGAGAAGCAGAACAUGCGA